GGUCUGGUGGUGUAGUUGGUUAUCACGUCAGUCUAACAGGUCGAGGACAUCCUACGAUAGCUUCGCUGCACACUGAAGGUCUCCGGUUCAAGUCCGGGCUAGAUCA
Molecule: transfer RNA, 106 nt
Organism: Colletotrichum incanum
Lineage: Eukaryota; Fungi; Ascomycota; Sordariomycetes; Glomerellales; Glomerellaceae
Rfam family: tRNA
About the family: Transfer RNA (tRNA) molecules are approximately 80 nucleotides in length.
Source: Rfam